GAUGAACGCUAGCGGGAGGCCUAACACAUGCAAGCCGAGCGGUAGAAAGUAGCUUGCUACUUUUGAGAGCGGCGUACGGGUGCGGAACACGUGUGCAACCUGCCUUUAUCUGGGGAAUAGCCUUUCGAAAGGAAGAUUAAUGCCCCAUAACAUAUUGAUUGGCAUCAAUUAAUAUUGAAAGCUCCGGCGGAUAGAGAUGGGCACGCGCAAGAUUAGCUAGUUGGUGAGGUAACGGCUCACCAAGGCGAUGAUCUUUAGGGGGCCUGAGAGGGUGAUCCCCCACACUGGUACUGAGACACGGACCAGACUCCUACGGGAGGCAGCAGUGAGGAAUAUUAGACAAUGGGUGCAAGCCUGAUCCAGCCAUCCCGCGUGAAGGAUGACGGCCCUAUGGGUUGUAAACUUCUUUUAUACAGGGAUAAACCUACUUACGUGUAAGUAGCUGAAGGUACUGUAUGAAUAAGCACCGGCUAACUCCGUG
Molecule: ribosomal RNA, 481 nt
Filed under: uncultured bacterium
Lineage: Bacteria
Description: partial 16S ribosomal RNA
Rfam family: Bacterial small subunit ribosomal RNA
Source: RNAcentral